GUGAACCCAUACCUGUAAAACUACCCAUACGAGCCGAAGGCCCAAGGGCAAUAUCUAUACGCCUAAAAGCCACGGAGAACAGGAAACACCGCGUCAUGUGUGACUCUGACCACUAAAAUGCGAUACGGGAGAACACACGCGCGUGCGCAGAAUUUGAAGGAAGGCUUGAUGACAUCGUUUCGGGAACCGAACUGCCAACGUCGGUAUGAUGGCGCGCCCAAAACGUCGAGCCUCUGUGAGGACAUACGUUACUAUACGGCCGGGGAUUCACUCCGUUUGAAACCGGGGCAGUACAACGACCUCCACGACCGCAAAUUGAGGCACAUUGCAGAGCUGCCCCGGCGAGGUGAAAUUCUGCAGGACAACGUCGCCGAGCUCUGCACGUAAUAAAACACGGACGGUUGGGAUAGCUGUAGGUUUGAUUGGCAUUGUUUAAGAAGACGAACUCGACUUUCAGAGUGGGUGCGGCUGCUCAGCAUUCUCUUGCAGAGGGAAAGCAUCCGUACCGAUACCCGAAACGCAGAUAGCUCUUCUGCGGUAUUUGUUCGAAUAAUACCACAUGACGUCGUGUCUUGGAAAGGACUGCAGCCGUAAGCACGGUACUGCAGCGAGGAAAACUGCUGUCGGACCGCCGCAAACGCGGCGAGUCCGAAAUCGGUCGUAAAUAUGCCUGUAGUUGCAGAUUGGCCCGGAUAGGCCCGGCAGGGCACCGUUCUUCACGGGCUGCACAUGUUUGCCUAUGUGGCGGAGGCUUUGCACCUUGUAGCAGUCAACACCGUUGGGGGAUUACCUUCAAGGGGUGCGCAAGGACUCACCUGGGCCCGGACUUGCGAUUCGUUCGCUCCUGCCGUCCUGCUCUUACCGUCAGC
RNAcentral lists this long non-coding RNA (869 nucleotides) under Volvox carteri. RNAcentral's name for it is "long non-coding RNA (VCAR_LNC000200)". The record is from RNAcentral. Lineage: Eukaryota; Viridiplantae; Chlorophyta; Chlorophyceae; Chlamydomonadales; Volvocaceae.